CUAGACAGGAAGUGACGUAGCUGGGCAGAAUCAGGAUAUAAGCAGGGACAAACAGGAAAUCACUCUCUUCUCUCUGGAGCCGCUUAGCGGUCAUCAUGUGAGUUUCCAAAGUAGCUAGAGGUCCGGACCUUUCUCUGACUAUUGGCCAGACCUUGUAGAGCGUCCUUCAACUUAAAAUGCUUUCGUAUUUUCCUAUCAUGAGACUGAAACUAGGGAUUGGAAGAAAUGUGCAGAGAAAAAUCUUCUCCUCACCUUAUGAAAAGGAUCAUGAUAUCAACAUUUUACAAGGAGAAACACUCACCUUGGUCGCAUGCUUAGGAUCAACCCACCAGCUUCUUCCUCCGACGGCACUGCCCCUCCCUUUUUAUUAUCCCUCCGUUCUCAAAACUGAAUCACAGAGUACAAACUGCACUCAGUGAUCCUGUGCGUGUGUUGUGCUUCACUUCUCAGAGUGGGGAAGGAAGAAAAUUUGUUACAAAAGCUGUUGAGGUGCUAAAAGCAGCGUUUAAUAAAAGCCUUUUCUGAGUCCCCGCCUA
Molecule: long non-coding RNA, 536 nt
Organism: Mesocricetus auratus (golden hamster)
Lineage: Eukaryota; Metazoa; Chordata; Mammalia; Rodentia; Cricetidae
Exons: 2
Source: RefSeq, a predicted model, not a curated record